GACGAACGCUGGCGGCGUGCUUAACACAUGCCAGUCGAACGGGCUCUGUCUGGCUGUGUGCUGGGUGGGGUUAGUGGCGAACGGGUGAGUAAUACGUGAGUAACCUGCCCUCUUCUUUGGGAUAAGCCUUGGAAACGGGGUCUAAUACUGGAUAUUCCUGUCUGGUCGCAUGGCUGGGUGGGGAAAGUUUUUUUCGGUGGGGGAUGGGCUCGCGGCCUAUCAGCUUGUUGGUGGGGUGAUGGCCUACCAAGGCGUCGACGGGUAGCCGGCCUGAGAGGGUGACCGGCCACACUGGGACUGAGAUACGGCCCAGACUCCUACGGGAGGCAGCAGUGGGGGAUAGUGCACAAUGGGCGAAAGCCUGAUGCAGCGACGCCGCGUGGGGGAUGACGGCUUUCGGGUUGUAAACCUCUUUCGUCGGGGGACAAGGCUCUGCUUGGUGGUGGGGUUGAGGGUACCCGGUGAAGAAGCGCCGGCUAACUACGUG
RNAcentral lists this ribosomal RNA (487 nucleotides) under uncultured bacterium. RNAcentral describes it as "partial 16S ribosomal RNA". It matches the Rfam family "Bacterial small subunit ribosomal RNA", at positions 28 to 507 of the family's 1533-position model. The record is from RNAcentral.